UACAGAGGUGGCAAGCGUUGUUCGGAAUUACUGGGCGUAAAGGGCGCGUAGGCGGUCUUGUAAGUUCCGUGUGAAAUCCCUCGGCUCAACUGAGGAACCGCACGGAAAACUGCUUGGCUUGAGUUCGGGAGAGGGAAGCGGAAUUCCGGGUGUAGCGGUGAAAUGCGUAGAUAUCCGGAGGAACACCGGUGGCGAAGGCGGCUUCCUGGACCGACACUGACGCUGAGGCGCGAAAGCUAGGGUAGCGAACAGG
Molecule: ribosomal RNA, 253 nt
Filed under: uncultured bacterium
Lineage: Bacteria
Description: partial 16S ribosomal RNA
Rfam family: Bacterial small subunit ribosomal RNA
Source: RNAcentral